This 484-nucleotide ribosomal RNA is filed under the name uncultured bacterium. RNAcentral describes it as "bacterial SSU rRNA". It matches the Rfam family "Bacterial small subunit ribosomal RNA", at positions 28 to 533 of the family's 1533-position model. The record is from RNAcentral.
GACGAACGCUGGCGGCAUGCCUCAUACAUGCAAGUCGAGCGAUCUAACUUCGGUUAGAUAGCGGCGGACGGGUGAGUAACGCGUGGGCAACCUGCCCUGAAGUAGGGGAUAACAUCUCGAAAGAGAUGCUAAUACCUUAUAAGAUCCUCCCUUCGCAUGGAGAGAGGAAGAAAGGCGUAAGCCGCUUUAGGAUGGGCCCGCGUCCCAUUAGCUAGUUGGUAGGGUAACGGCCUACCAAGGCAGCGAUGGGUAGCCGGCCUGAGAGGGCGACCGGCCACGACUGGGACUGAGACACGGCCCAGACUCCUACGGGAGGCAGCAGUCGGGAAUAUUGGGCAAUGGGGGAAACCCUGACCCAGCAAUGCCGCGUGAGUGACGAAGGUCUUCGGAUUGUAAAGCUCUGUCCUUGGGGAAGAAGAAUGACGGUACCCAAGAAGAAAGCCACGGCUAACUACGUGCCAGCAGCCGCGGUAAACGUAGCGUG